This 250-nucleotide unclassified non-coding RNA is filed under the name plant metagenome. RNAcentral describes it as "partial contains small subunit ribosomal RNA, internal transcribed spacer 1, and 5.8S ribosomal RNA". The record is from RNAcentral.
GUAGGUGAACCUGCGGAAGGAUCAUUAACACGUAUCCACGUAUCAAACCCCUCUGUGCAACUCUAAAUAACGUUAGGCUGGUCUUAGUGCACUUGUUCGCAUAGAUCUUAAUGAUGGGAGGCUCUUAACGGGGCCUCGGGAUCUGAGCAGGUGUGCGUUCGACGAUUGGCCGCUAUUUUCCCAUUGUUAGCCCAACCAAAAUUUUAACCCCUUUGUACUAUUCUGUACUGAACCAAAACUUCUCGAGUUU